AAAUUUUUUUUUGGGAAAGAUCGAUUUUAUUCUUUUUCCUCUCUCUCUCUUUCUCUCGCGAUUGAAUCCCCGAAACGAGAAAACAAUUUGGAAUCAAAAGCUUCAAGUUAGAGUACAGAGACUGAUGCAGAGGAUGAGGCUAUUGCAGCUCGGUUACUAACAGGUUGAUCACAUCAAAGGAUCAUGCUUCUGUGCAGCUCAACAUUGGUCAUCUCGAUGCUGAUGGGGUGUACACUGGUCAAUUCACUACAUUUUCUCUCUGCGGUUUUGUCCGUGCUCAGGGUGAUGCCGACAGUGGAGUCGACAAGCUAUGGCAGAAGAAGAAGGUUGAAGCCAAACAACAGUAAAACCAACAAGCUUUGGUUUCUAGUUUCUAGGUUUCUUUUUGAAAUCUAGAUGUGAACCUUUAUCUUCAUCACAAUCUAUUUCUCUUCAUCACAAUCUUCUCUUUUCACGUAUGUAACAUAUCCAUCAAAAGUUAAAUCAUGAUUCAUGAUGACUCUUAAUUAGUAUUCUCUACUACUAUAUCAAGUUUGAGUUUCAUAUUUA
This is a long non-coding RNA of Camelina sativa (false flax), 549 nucleotides long. RefSeq lists it as uncharacterized. NCBI's taxonomy places the organism in Eukaryota, Viridiplantae, Streptophyta, Magnoliopsida, Brassicales, Brassicaceae. The record is from RefSeq and is a predicted model, not a curated record.